UACAGAGGUCUCAAGCGUUGUUCGGAUUCAUUGGGCGUAAAGGGCGCGUAGGCUGCGGGUCAAGUCGGGUGUGAAAUCUCAGAGCUCAACUCUGAAACUGCACUCGAUACUGCUUUGCUCGAGGACUGGAGAGGAGAUUGGAAUUCACGGUGUAGCAGUGAAAUGCGUAGAUAUCGUGAGGAACACCUGUGGCGAAAGCGGCGCACUGGACCACAACUGACGCUGAGGCGCGAAAGCUUGGGGAGCAAACAGG
Molecule: ribosomal RNA, 253 nt
Filed under: uncultured bacterium
Lineage: Bacteria
Description: partial 16S ribosomal RNA
Rfam family: Bacterial small subunit ribosomal RNA
Source: RNAcentral